UACGUAGGGUGCGAGCGUUAAUCGGAAUUACUGGGCGUAAAGCGUGCGCAGGCGGUUUUGUAAGCCAGAUGUGAAAUCCCCGGGCUCAACCUGGGAAUGGCGUUUGGGACUGCAAGGCUGGAGUGUGGCAGAGGAGACUGGAAUUCCUGGUGUAGCAGUGAAAUGCGUAGAUAUCAGGAGGAAUACCGAUGGCGAAGGCAGGUCUCUGGGCUGACACUGACGCUCAUGCACGAAAGCGUGGGGAGCAAACAGG
RNAcentral lists this ribosomal RNA (253 nucleotides) under uncultured bacterium. RNAcentral describes it as "partial 16S ribosomal RNA". It matches the Rfam family "Bacterial small subunit ribosomal RNA", at positions 524 to 776 of the family's 1533-position model. The record is from RNAcentral.